This 265-nucleotide ribosomal RNA is filed under the name uncultured archaeon. RNAcentral describes it as "partial 16S ribosomal RNA". It matches the Rfam family "Archaeal small subunit ribosomal RNA", at positions 717 to 982 of the family's 1478-position model. The record is from RNAcentral.
AGUCACUGACAUUAGAUACCCGUGUAGUCCAGGGUGUAAACGCUGCAGACUUGGUGUUGGAGGCCCUUUGGGGGCAUUCAGUGCCGGAGAGAAGUUGUUAAGUCUGCUACUUGGGGAGUACGGCCGCAAGGCUGAAACUUAAAGGAAUUGGCGGGGGAGCACCGCAACGGGAGGAGCGUGCGGUUCAAUUGGAUUCAACGCCGGACAACUCACCAGGAGCGACGGUUACAUGAAGGCCAGGCUGAUGACCUUGCCUGAUUUUCCG